Ananas comosus (pineapple) is the source of this 102-nucleotide small nuclear RNA. NCBI's taxonomy places the organism in Eukaryota, Viridiplantae, Streptophyta, Magnoliopsida, Poales, Bromeliaceae. The record is from Rfam.
AUCUCUUUGGAGAUAUCUGAUAAAAUGGAAUGAUAUAGAGAAGAUUAGCAUGGUCCCUGCACAAGGAUGACACGCACAGAUCAAGUCAAUGCACACGAUUUA